CCCUUAGAUGUUCGGGGCCGCACGCGCGCUACACUGAAGGAAUCAGCACGUCUUUCUCCUUGUCCGAAAGGACUGGGUAACCCGCUGAACCUCCUUCGUGCUAGGGAUUGGGGCUUGUAAUUCUUCCCCAUGAACGAGGAAUUCCCAGUAAGCGCGAGUCAUAAGCUCGCGUUGAUUACGUCCCUGCCCUUUGUACACACCGCCCGUCGCUCCUACCGAUUGGGUGUGCUGGUGAAAUGUUCGGAUCGGCCGUUUGUCGCGGUUUCCGCGUCAUGUGGCUGAGAAGUUCAUUAAACCCUCCCACCUAGAGGAAGGAGAAGUCGUAACA
RNAcentral lists this ribosomal RNA (328 nucleotides) under uncultured eukaryote. RNAcentral's name for it is "partial 18S ribosomal RNA". It matches the Rfam family "Eukaryotic small subunit ribosomal RNA", at positions 1470 to 1796 of the family's 1831-position model. The record is from RNAcentral.